Molecule: ribosomal RNA, 259 nt
Filed under: uncultured prokaryote
Description: partial 16S ribosomal RNA
Rfam family: Bacterial small subunit ribosomal RNA
Source: RNAcentral
UACGGAGGAUGCGAGCGUUAUCCGGAUUUAUUGGGUUUAAAGGGUGCGUAGGCGGCUUUUAAAGUCAGCGGUGAAAUUUUGCAGCUUAACUGUAACAGUGCCGUUGAUACUGGGGAGCUAGGAUUUGGUUGCUGUGGGUGGAAUGUGUGGUGUAGCGGUGAAAUGCUUAGAGAUCACACAGAAUAUCGAUUGCGAAGGCAGCUCACAAAGCCAAGAUUGACGCUGAGGCACGAAAGUGUGGGGAUCAAACAGGAUUAGA